CUCCAAGCUUAAGCGCGUCAAUUGGACACGUGACGGAUGUUGAGGGUGGAGGCGGGCAUGCCUUUCCCGGUGGAUUAGUGGUUACCGGAGGAAGUACCGGUGGCAGAAUUCCCGGAGGAAGGAUAGGCGGGAGAAUCCCAGGUGGCAGAGUCACCGGAGGUAGGGUAACAGGGGGUUUCACUAUGGGCGGUAGGGUAACAGGGGGUUUCACUAUGGGCGGUAGGGU
RNAcentral lists this long non-coding RNA (226 nucleotides) under Panax ginseng (ginseng). RNAcentral describes it as "long non-coding RNA (PGIN_LNC010270)". The record is from RNAcentral. Lineage: Eukaryota; Viridiplantae; Streptophyta; Magnoliopsida; Apiales; Araliaceae.